CCCAUCAGCUCCUGCUUGGGCACAGCCCCGCAGCCACCUCCUCUGCCCCACCACAAAGACUUGCAGAACCCAAAUCCUUGCCUUCUGCCUCCAAAACACACUGCAUCCCGCGGUGCAGAGGCAGGCUGGAGGUGGAGAGAGGUUUUCAGGGCUGGGGCUUGUUGACCUCCUCUCCAGCCUGUGUCAGAGGAAGGGGAGACAGCAGAUUGAUUUCCUAUCAUAAACCCCUUCCUGCUGUGAAGAGGAGAAGACCCGUUCCUAUGCUGCUUGCAGACGGACCAACAUUGGAACUAUUUUGGGUUGACUUUGUGCCCCAACCUAAGCAGAGACAGGGUGGUAGAGGGACAAGGUAACCUCCAGGUAACAUGCGCUGACCCACUGCUGGAGGACAACGUGGCGUGGAGGAUAAUGAGGCAAAUGCCACGGCUCUACUUCCAGAACCACCUCCUCCUACUGGGAUCAAACGUCGGAGCAAGCUGAGUGCUUCAUUCAAAGGGCUGGUGGGGUCAAGCCUUUUGUUGUAGGCUUGUUUUAUGUUACAGGGAAAUUCUAGAUAGAUCUGUCCUGAGAGCUCCUCUGUUCAAUCGGUUUGAGGCGUGCAAUGUGUGACCUGGGGGAUGAACUGGGAUGCUCCUCAGCAGGGUCAGGACGUGGCAACCUGUGGGAUUCAUCCUGCCGUGGGGCACAGCAGCCCUGCAGGGGGAUCUGGCCAGGCUAGGGGAAUGGAAAUUUUCUAGCAGGAGAUGUGGGGUUUUAACAAGGACAAAAGCAAGCCCCUGUCCCUGGGAUGGACUAAGGUGCUUAGAAAUAAGUGUUGGGGUGGGUUUGGCAGGAGGCUGCCAGGGUGUUGGUGGGGCUGGAGGGAAGAGAGGCUGGAGGCUUGGUCGGGCUGUGCUGAGAGGAGGAGAGGAGAGGGGAAUAGGCUGGAACAGGGCAGGAUCCAGUGUGGUGUAAGGAAAUACAGUCACUGUGGGGGUGAAUGAGCAGUGCACCGGGGCCAAGAGAGCUGGAGGGAUCCCUGUCCCUGGAGGUUUUUGGGAACUGACCGGGGAAAUCCCUGAGCAACCCAGCCAGAGCCCUGGGCCAAGCUUACCGUGGGCAGAAGGUUGGGUUAAAGACCUCCUGGAGUCCCUUCCCACCUGAAAUUCCCGCAGUUCUGUGCUGCUGCUGUGCUGCAGGGGGCCGAAACUGCCUCUCGUGCUCUGCCUGGCACGGCAAAUCCUCCCAGUGCUUCUCACACUGGACUGAGUGUGAGUGAGUUUCAGAGUCCAGUUCCCAUAUUUCUGCUUCAAACCCUGCCGACCACACCUGAAACUCAUCAGGAGGUGGCACAGUUUGGUUGCAAAACAAUACAUUUACUUUACAUCUGAAAUAUCUCGUAAAAUCCAAAACAAAGACAGAAGACACCCGAUUUUCCCCCUCUGCCCCGAGCCUUGCCUCACUUUACCAAGCUGCCAUCGCUUAAAGCUCCUCAUUCCCCACGCAGGGGUCGCGACACCUAUUAAUCAUGCUGAAGAGCCCCUCAAUUAUCUGAAACCACGAUUACCCCAGCCCGUUCCACGUCCCCCGUGACAUUUGGAUAACUGAGGUUGUUCUGUAUUAUUAUUAUUUUUCAAUUGUGGUAAUUAUUGUACAUUAAACCAUUAGCAUUCAUUACUCCUACAGUGUGUAAUUAGAACAAUGGUGGAUGGAUUGCUACCGACUCUAAUGAAGUUUUUAUAAUUGUAAUUUAUGGCCGUCAAAUUACCUUUCUUAAAAAUGAAGCCUAAUAUUAGCCUCUUAAGUUAUGGGGAGGGGGUGGUAAUUACUUCUAAUUGAUGGUUCUUGUUUGCUCUGCAGACGGAGCAACG
This is a long non-coding RNA of Cygnus olor (mute swan), 1850 nucleotides long. RefSeq lists it as uncharacterized. The transcript has 3 exons. The record is from RefSeq and is a predicted model, not a curated record. NCBI's taxonomy places the organism in Eukaryota, Metazoa, Chordata, Aves, Anseriformes, Anatidae.